This 1316-nucleotide long non-coding RNA is filed under the name Homo sapiens (human). Its description in RNAcentral is "small nucleolar RNA host gene 1, transcript variant 11 (SNHG1)". The stretch from base 254 to 322 matches the Rfam family "Small nucleolar RNA SNORD25". Lineage: Eukaryota; Metazoa; Chordata; Mammalia; Primates; Hominidae. The record is from RNAcentral.
CUCAUUUUUCUACUGCUCGUGGUAAGUGGCUUCGUGGUCUUUAUAGCUGUUACUCUUUUGUACUUUGUCUUUUUCUUUUAUUUUCUUUUGAGCGAUUGUGCGAACAUAGCAUAGCACGCACUAUGCCUUCUGUGUUGUAGCUGCCUGGCCAGGGCGACUGGCGGAUAAGGUCUUGUGCGUGGCCUCGAGGCUUAAAAGUAGCAGUGGGGCUUUGUGAAGGACAAAAUGGCGAUGGCGGGCCGUGUAGGUCCCCCUUCCUAUGAUGAGGACCUUUUCACAGACCUGUACUGAGCUCCGUGAGGAUAAAUAACUCUGAGGAGAUGGGCCCUGCAAGCCUCUUGCUUAGCCGUCUGUUCAGAAAAUAGCGUUUUCGAAAUGCCCUGAGUUGACCUAAUGUCUUAUUGGGCUCCUGUCUGCAGGAUUUACGCGCACGUUGGAACCGAAGAGAGCUCUGUUGUUGCAAUGUUCAGCCCACAAGAGCUUACUGGUGAAGGAAUGGGACAAGACCCAUCUUUAUGCAAAGCCAGCGUUACAGUAAUGUUCCAGCAUCUCAUAAUCUAUCCUGGGGAAUUCAGCUGCCUCCCAGGGUGAAUACAGGUAUUCCUGAUGACAGUCUGCCUCUAUCUUACAGAGCAGCUUGUUGCUAUAUACCAUUGAAAAGCCUUCAGAGCUGAGAGGUACUACUAACCAAUAACCUGCUUGGCUCAAAGGGCCAGCACCUUCUCUCUAAAGCCCAAGAGGAGUUUGAGGAAAACUAGGUGUCUGUGUUCACUCCAGGCUGAAGUUACAGGUCUGAGCAAAUAAGGUGUAUAAAAAAUGGAAUCUGUCUUGGAGGACAUCAGAAGAUACAAGGGCUUGGUUUUGUUACCCAGGCUGGUUUCAAGGCCAUAGCUUUAAGAGAUCCUCUCACCACAGAUUUCCAAAGUGCUGGGAUUGCAGGUGUGAUUCAUGGCACCCAGACUUUGCUGCCUUUCUUACAUGAUCCAGGCCCAGAACCCAAACUCAGGCACUGUAUAGAUGACCACUUUCGUAAACUACUGACCUAGCUUGUUGCCAAUUGUUGAUUGAACUUCCCAUAACUCCACUUCGUGUCUGUUCCUCUGUAUACAGCCACCUUCUGUUCCCGUCAUGAGCCUUUAGGUCUCCAUUUGCAUAUUGCAAAUACUAUGUUCCAUGUAGGUAGCUCAUUCAGGGCCUUGCUCUUCACUUCAAAAAAGGUUCCCUUGAGGACUGGCUGUCAAUUUGUGUUGCUGUGUUGGUUGUUGAUGAAAAUAAUAAAAUGAUUGAUUACAUAGUCCUGUUUAAAAAAAAAAAAA